GAGUUUGAUCGUGGCUCAGAUUGAACGCUGGCGGCAUGCCUUACACAUGCAAGUCGAACGGCAGCACGGGAGCUUGCUCCUGGUGGCGAGUGGCGAACGGGUGAGUAAUGCAUCGGAACGUAUCCUGGAGUGGGGGAUAACGUAGCGAAAGUUACGCUAAUACCGCAUAUUCUGUGAGCAGGAAAGCGGGGGACCUUCGGGCCUCGCGCUCUUGGAGCGGCCGAUGUCGGAUUAGCUAGUUGGUGAGGUAAAGGCUCACCAAGGCGACGAUCCGUAGCAGGUCUGAGAGGAUGAUCUGCCACACUGGAACUGAGACACGGUCCAGACUCCUACGGGAGGCAGCAGUGGGGAAUUUUGGACAAUGGGGGCAACCCUGAUCCAGCCAUGCCGCGUGAGUGAAGAAGGCCUUCGG
Molecule: ribosomal RNA, 412 nt
Filed under: bacterium enrichment culture clone ALO1_GLFRUDD03F496S
Lineage: Bacteria
Also listed under: 3 other names
Description: bacterial SSU rRNA
Rfam family: Bacterial small subunit ribosomal RNA
Source: RNAcentral